Anolis carolinensis (green anole) is the source of this 1413-nucleotide long non-coding RNA. RefSeq lists it as uncharacterized. The record is from RefSeq and is a predicted model, not a curated record. NCBI's taxonomy places the organism in Eukaryota, Metazoa, Chordata, Lepidosauria, Squamata, Anolidae. The transcript is spliced from 3 exons.
AACCAGCUGUUAGGAUUUCUGGGAGUUGAAGGCCAAAACAUCUGGGGACCCACAGGUUAAGAACCACUGAGCAAGGAGAUGUCAACUUUUAUGCAGAGGGAGAAGAUGAGGCUGGGUGAAGGUCAGCUGGACCAGAAUGAAAAGCAGUAGGAGCGUUCACUUAAAAUUCAUCAAGGCAGAACUGCUGCCACCUCACCUUGCCUCAUCUUAGAAGAUAAGCAGGACCUCAUAUGUUUGGGAAAAAGACCCCCCCCCCCGGCUGUUAUUAGUGGUCUCCUUGAUUUGUUUGUAAUAGAUUAUGUAUAUUGUACAUUAUAUUAUAUUCUGAAUCAUUCCACUGUGCAUUGGCUUUAAAUGAAAACGUGUGGCAAAUACAAGAUAGAAAUUCUAUAACUUAUCAAAAACAGUAUUAUCUUGUAUAACAACUUAGGUAACCUUCAUCACUGGUAGGGAGUUCUUACAAAGAUCAGUGGAUAUCUAGACCCCAAAAGUUUGAAGACUUGUAGACAAGUCACAGGCACCCUGCCCAUAUCUUGUGAAUCUAUCUAUACUGUUUUGGAGUCACAAGGAACACGGCCUUCUGAACUCAAACCUUUACUGUUUGAAUGUAAUUAUUUUUACGAUCUAAAGACAACUACUGUAAUUCAGCUCGCUUUUUAGUCAAUACAAUGAAAAAUGCCAUUCCCAUUUUAGCAAAUGGCAGCAGAAAUGCAAUACAAGGAGCAAAAACACUAAUACAGAAAUCAAUAUCUAUUACAGUUUAAAUCACAUUUUAGUCCUUUAGCAAUCCUUUAAAAAGCUAUGGCUGAUCCUGUUUGUAUUAGAAAUCAUUUCAGUGUCUUUCGGGGUUUUCUUUUUGAUACUUCAAAACGUAUCACUUAAAAGCCAACCUGCCAACUUCAUCUCAUCACCCCACUGCCUUCAUCUUCUAAACCAAUGUAGGCAUGCCUCCAUCCUCAAGUCAUUGCCUUGCUAUAUUUAUAUGAUAUAGCAGCUGAAAAUCUUGUGACAUGCAAGUGAUUGUUGGCAUCCAGACUGUAAUGAAAUGUGAUUGUGAUAACUUUAUUGACAGAGAUCUUGUACUACCCUUUUCUGUGUGAGAUGUUAAGUACAGUUGUGGUCAAAAUCCAGGGCUCAAACAGAAAUGUUUAUCAAGCGUCUUCACCUUCUAUCUCAGAUGGGUUUUUUGUAGAGUUGGCUCACAUUUUCUAAUGUCAUUCAACACACACAGAUGUGAUGAAUGGAUUGAGUGAAUUUUAUAUUUAAUAAUGAUGGCUUGACUUGGCCUAAUGUGUUGUAGAUUUGCAUACAAUGGUUCAUCAUGCCAGUGUUUUGUGAGUUGUUUUACAUUGUUUCACAAUGUAAGUGCAAUUUUAAUUUUCCUAAUUCAAAUAAUAAAACAUUCUCAAUGGU